This 963-nucleotide ribosomal RNA is filed under the name uncultured archaeon. Its description in RNAcentral is "bacterial SSU rRNA". It matches the Rfam family "Archaeal small subunit ribosomal RNA", at positions 44 to 1012 of the family's 1478-position model. The record is from RNAcentral.
CUAAGCCAUGCGAGUCAUUGUAGCAAUACAAGGCAGACGGCUCAGUAACGCGUAGUCAAUCUACCCUAUGGACGGGAAUAAUCUCGGGAAACUGAGAAUAAUGCCCGAUAGAACAUUAUGCCUGGAAUGGUUUAUGUUUCAAAUGAUUUAUCGCCAUAGGAUGGGACUGCGGCCUAUCAGUUUGUUGGUGAGGUAAUGGCCCACCAAGACUAUUACAGGUACGGGCUCUGAGAGGAGUGGCCCGGAGAUGGGUACUGAGACACGGACCCAGGCCCUAUGGGGCGCAGCAGGCGAGAAAACUUUGCAAUGUGCGAAAGCACGACAAGGUUAAUCCGAGUGGUUUCUGCUAAAGAAACCUUUUGUCAGUCCUAGAAACACUGACGAAUAAGGGGUGGGCAAGUUCUGGUGUCAGCCGCCGCGGUAAAACCAGCACCUCAAGUGGUCAGGAUGAUUAUUGGGCCUAAAGCAUCCGUAGCUCGUUUUGUAAGUUUUCGGUUAAAUCCAUGCGCUUAACGUAUGGGCUGCCGGGAAUACUGCAUAACUAGGAAGUGGGAGAGGUAGACGGUACUCGGUAGGAAGGGGUAAAAUCCUUUGAUCUAUUGAUGACCACCUGUGGCGAAGGCGGUCUACCAGAACACGUUCGACGGUGAGGGAUGAAAGCUGGGGGAGCAAACCGGAUUAGAUACCCGGGUAGUCCCAGCUGUAAACUAUGCAAACUCAGUGAUGCAUUGGCUUGUGGCCAAUGCAGUGCUGCAGGGAAGCCGUUAAGUUUGCCGCCUGGGAAGUACGUACGCAAGUAUGAAACUUAAAGGAAUUGGCGGGGGAGCACCACAAGGGGUGAAGCCUGCGGUUCAAUUGGAGUCAACGCCAGAAAUCUUACCCGGAGAGACAGCAGAAUGAAGGUCAAGCUGAAGACUUUACCAGACAAGCUGAGAGGAGGUGCAUGGCCACGCCUCACAUUUC